This 376-nucleotide ribosomal RNA is filed under the name uncultured Gammaproteobacteria bacterium. RNAcentral describes it as "bacterial SSU rRNA". It matches the Rfam family "Bacterial small subunit ribosomal RNA", at positions 521 to 896 of the family's 1533-position model. Lineage: Bacteria; Pseudomonadati; Pseudomonadota; Gammaproteobacteria. The record is from RNAcentral.
UAAUACGGAGGGUGCAAGCGUUAAUCGGAAUUACUGGGCGUAAAGCGCGCGUAGGCGGUUUGUUAAGUCGGAUGUGAAAGCCCCGGGCUCAACCUGGGAAUGGCAUUCGAUACUGUCAAGCUAGAAUGUGGAAGAGGGAAGUGGAAUUUCCGGUGUAGCGGUGAAAUGCGUAGAUAUCGGAAGGAACACCAGUGGCGAAGGCGGCUUCCUGGUCCAACAUUGACGCUGAGGUGCGAAAGCGUGGGGAGCGAACAGGAUUAGAUACCCUGGUAGUCCACGCCGUAAACGAUGAGAACUAGAUGUCGGGGGAAUUUGUCCUUCGGUGUCGCAGCUAACGCGUUAAGUUCUCCGCCUGGGGAGUACGGUGGCAACACUA